UCUUCCCAAGACGUCACAUUCCCAGGUCCACUACCUUCGCUCUGACCCUCUCUAGCCGUCCCCUGACUCAGCAAACCAGACAAUAACCUCACGUCAUCUAGGUGGUCCAGUAAUAAAACGCCAGCUCCCACUUGAAAACACUUCAUGCUUAAGUGGUCUCUGCUCCUUUCCUGGGUCCCUCUCUAGUGGAAAUCUAGUGGAAUGGACCCUCGUCAUCAAUCACUAAGUAAACUAAAUUGGCGCAGGUCUCAAAUAAGAAGCAGAAGACACUUGGGCCCUCGCUCAGGCCUGCUACUAGAUUUAUGUGUAUUGUAAGCAUGCAUGCAAUUAACCUGCUAUGUUCCCAUCUUCCCUCAACAUGUAUCACCUGGACACUCUCACCAGUGAAGCUUAAAACCCUCUUGGAUAGAACAUCAACUCUAAACAAGCACAGAUAUGCAAUGUGUAUAAAAUGAACUAAACCUGUGAAUAGAAUGAAUGUGAUGACAAACAUGUUCAAUGCAAUAUGAACCCUGUAAACAAUAUUACUGAUAAACAAUGUUUCCUUAUUAUUUUGUCAUAAAAUAAAUCAAACCAAUAACUUAAGCUGUGUGACGGCACCUUGCGUUUACGCCAGGCUGUGAGCUGCCCUAAAUCUACUUGCUACACCCCCUUUUUCACCUAGUCUAAUUUUUUCAAUCCUAGUUUAAACUAUUCCUAACUUCCCUCAGUGCACACUGUAAAGUGUAAAAGAUACAAUUAGCUUUCUCCUGGUAAAAGGUCCUACAUUAUUUUCUCAACCUUUGGAAACCUCCUCUAUCGAGUUAACCCCUUUCAUUUUUUCAAACUUAGGCCUGAUUUCUUCGCCCCCUUUAACGGGUAGCGCCUAUCCGGUCUGAACACUGUGUUUGGGCAAUUUACAAAUUGUUCCAGGAUUUCUAUGUUAUGUAAAUUUCCUCUCAUCCCUUUUAUGCUUCCAUUAUAACCUGUGUCUAACAAGCUUUUGACCUUUUUUGUAACAUAAACAACUAGGUGUAUUUGUGCUCUGUUUUUCUCCUUUCUCUGGUUGGUUCCGUUCGGUCUGGGGCUUCCAGGAUUCUCGCCCCCCUAAGUCGCUGUGGUCCUGAAAUCUUCUCCUGUAAAAGAUAGAAAACAAAAAGCCUCUCUCUGCUACACCUCACUAAUCUAUUGUGUUCAUCCAAUGUUCCUUUAAUUAUUCAAACUUGGUUCACAAUAUCAUGUUCUGGGCUUUAUCCUUUUUAUUAACUUUACUUAAUCUCAAUACUCUUUAUGUGUGUGAGCAACGCUUUUAGUUUUAUUAAACACACCCCGGGUAAAAUAUACACCAUCCCCAUGUCAGCCUACCUCUCCUCUAGAAAGCACGCUUCAAAAUUUCUAUCAGGAUUUACACCUCUUUUUGCUUCAAGCAUAUACCUAACUUGCAAAAAUUACUGUUAAUGCCAGUUACACAAGUUUCCAUUAUUUACAACAUUUUGUUUCACCCGUCUCACCCUCACAUGUUUCCUGUUCACUUAUUACAUACUUAUCUUUAACACCGUCUGCCUCACUAGUUGCUUAGCAGAAACAAAGCACCAUGUGUUCCACCUUUGCCCUAUAAACUAAAUCUAUGUCAUGUUUGUGUCUGUAAGCAUGUUUUGCAUUCAUUCAUUACACUCCACGCCAUCCCUGCAAGUUAAGAGCUAUACAGUUAAAAGCUACAGGCCUUUGGCCUCGCCUAUUUUAAAUCAAGCAGGAGAGUUUCAUUUUGCUUUAAAAAUAACUCUAUUUAAAAUAACAAUUUCUGCCUCAGUUUUACCAUAUCUAAAUUAUCAACAACCCCAAAAGUCAUAAAAUGAUCCUAGAACCCAUCUCAAAUUACCUCUUAAAUUCCCCCUUUAUAUUUGGACACACCAGAUGUGUCCAAAUAAAUAAAAACUCAAAAACUCAAAAUGCAUCACCCGGGCUUAAGAACUUAAAAGAAAAAGGUUAGUCAUAUCAUCUCUCCAAACACCUCAGUCAUCCUCCUCUCCGGUAGAUCUGCUCCAGCCCUGAAAACCUGUGUUUAAGGAAUAAAAUCAAUUUAAUCAUCAUGUCAAAUCUUCUCGAACUCCUUGCUCCAUGCAAGAGUCUGGAUCCUUGGAAUUUCCUGGAAACAAAACCUGUACUUUACAUUUCAUACUCAACUCUCCCCCUUUAUGAUCCAAUCUGUGUUACAAUAAAGAAAACUUAAAUGGUAACAUGAGCUAUAUCAAAAAAUGUUUCCCUUUUAGCAUUUAGCAUUUUAUAAUGUAAUAACAUAAUCCAACCCCAGUACAUAAAACAAAAAUUCCCUCCAAGCAAACAUCAGCAUCCCCAGAAUUAAAUCUUCCACUUGUCCUGCUCAUGGCAAAAGCAAAACAAAGCAUCCCCUUUCUUUUCCUCACAUGGUAAAUUGUCUGUCCACAUUUACUCGUUCCCACCUUAGUCCAGUCAUUCACAUUCACUCACAUGCAUUCACACAUGAUAUUUUUGCUGAUCUGCAGCCCUCUGCAUGCGAUCAUCAGAUGCUCCACAUCAGCAAAAUGAGCUCAACCAUUUGUUUUAUUUCGUUUUUCCUUUUUAGAAAAUAGUUCUCUAUACUUUUGACUGGAUUGACUCGCUGCAAUCCUUACUUGGUAAUUUGUCCGCGCCCGUCAGUUCACUCUCUUCCAGGCCUGCUUAGAGCAAAAUGAGAAAAAAGAGAGCUGAUUGUUAGCUCAUCAAAGUACAAAACAAAAUCACCUGACAGGUUUUUUCUAAGUGCACUGUUAUAAAAACUAUGGGCCCUUUUAGACAUGUCCAUGUUUAUCAAAACUCCCUCUAUUAAAAUGAAAUACAACAGCCCCAAAAAAUCUUAAACCAUCUUAAAUUUCACCCAAUCAACGCACUGAAAACCUUGUCAAAACUGCACCGUUUUACACACAACCAUGUCCCCUUAGACACUUCACCAUACUCAGAUUCAGCCUAACACCUUACAACAAUGUGUCAACACUAAUUUAUAAACCUCCUAAUCAAAUUUGCACCUCUGAACAAUCUACCCCUCCUUUAAGGCCUCAAUCACACACACACAGCCAGCUCCUCUGUCCACAUUCACACAAGCUCUCAAACUUUUUCCAUACUCAGCCAUAUCUCAACAAUUUAACUUGGCAAAAGAAAUACAUGUUUAAACUUUAUCACAUUAUUGAAUUAUUUUCAUUUUCUUUCUAUACUAAUCACUUAUUUUGAUCACUCAGUGCAAGAGCACUCCUAAUUCACCCUUAUAAACACUUUUCUUUUGUUUUUUCCAUCUAUUUUAAAUCUUUCCAUCAAUUUUAUUAACCAUUCACACCAUUCUCUCACUCAUACAAGCAGCAAGCAGAUCUUCAUUGCAUAUGCUUAUGUUCUUAGCCAGGUUUUAAAUCAAUAUCUCUAUGCAUUAAGCUUUGAUUAGACAAGCUUCAUGAGCUUGUCUUUGUACGGUUAAUACAUUUUCUGUUUGUGUGUGGUAUUUUGCAUCUAUGGCUUCGCAAUCUGUCAGACACCUUUCCAAUUCUCCAGUUAAGCAGUCAAUUUUCUUUUUCCCCGAAUUACUAACCCUCUGUUUUGAUUUCCCACCUUAAAUAAAGCACUCCUAGUCUUCAGCCAGGAGCUAGGGCCUGUUUUCCAGGUUCAUGGACACAUGAUUCUGUGAACAAUUCAACCAGAAACUUGCCUUAACUUAUCCAGUGAUGUUAACUUCUAACUUUCUUCCGACUGCUGCUGUGGAAAGUUGGUACGGUUCUGCUUUACCCCUGAAAAUAACAAAACUAAGACAUUUUCAUUAUUACCACAGGUACUUAAAUGACCCAUUUCUCUGUCUCUAGUCAGAAAUACCAAUUAUGCCAUGCAUGUAAGCGUGUUCUUCCUUGCAUUUUACAUUAAUUGAGUGUAAGCUGCUUCUUCAUUAAAUUAAUUCAUUGAGUUUCUCAUUGCAUUUCUAUGUAUUCAUGUUAAUGUACACUACGUGUAAGCUGUUUCUUCAUUGCAUCCUAUAUAUUCAUAUUUAAUUUGUGCAUUUCACCACUGAGCUUUAGAUUCAAACUAUCUCACUACUGAUUCAUUUCAAAAAUAAUCUCACAUGUAACAAUUUGUAUGUGUGUUUUCCAUUCAUUAAGGUAAUGACAAUUAUUUUCUUUCAUUAUUCUUACCUUUUCUAAUGUUUACCUCUUUGUUAUGCUAUGGUGGACAUCCCUAAACAAUUCAUGAGUUCAGGUUUCAAUUUUCAAUCCAAUUAUAUCCUAUAUUCUCGCAGUCAAACUCGUCCAGCUUCAUCUCUCACUGGUCCCUCUUUGGACAAUGUCCUGUUCGGGCUCCAAAGCUCCAGCAAACACAGUCUCAACUCAGCUGCUGUCUUCUUCUCUGUUCCUUUACAGUCUUUCUUUCAGAUUAAGUCCCAGCAUGGCAAAAUAUCACUCAAUGUCCAGUGCUCUUCCACAAUUCUUUAUCCCACUGUUCAACUGCCCAGCCUGUAUUUUCACAGUACAUCUUGCAUUACUCUUACAUGCUGCUGCUGGUCGUCAGUCGUCAUCAGUGUUAAUGGAUCAGUGGCACUGUCGUUUGCCUGCUGUAUUCAAGUCCACGAUGUUCUAUCGGUCUUCAUCAGGCGAUUGACUGUCCUUUGAACUUCUUCUCCGCUUCAGGGACAAAGUGAGAGAUCAACUGCACAAUUUCGAGCCAAAGCCUGGCUUAUUCUCCCAAUUCUGUUAAUCUAUUGUUCUGCUGCUGCACUCAAGGUUCCAAAGUUGAAAGACGUCCACCUGUAUUGACACACUAGAGCAUACAAUUAGUAUUAUAUUCAUUUUUAUCUUAAAACCUCGAUUUGCUCCAUCUUCUUAGAAUUUAACUCUGUCCAUUUCUCUGGGUGCUCCCCUGACAUCAUCAGUCACACACACACCUUCCUCUCACACACACAGCAGCACAGUAUUUCCUGUUUCUCUUUCCUGUUUCUACAAAUUAAUCAACCACUUGUUUUUUCAUAUUUACAGUCUACAAACCCUCUUUUAGUUUUACUAAGUCUUGGUCUAAAAACAAUACACCUUCCUUUCAUACACACUUUUAAAUAGAGCUCUUUCAGACAUAAAAAUAAACUCAACCUCUCAUACCAUCACUCAUGCAUUUCUUGAAUUAAAAGCACUUUCAAACUUUAAAACAUCCUACUUUACAUCACAAAAGAAAUAUAUAUAUACUUUUAAAUGUUCUAACCUCUUUCAUACGCCAUAAAUCGUCUCACACACACUGCCUCUUCUCUCAAACUUCUCCCUUUUUCACUCACUCAGACAAAUCAUUCAGAGACAUUCAAAUCAAAUACUGACAGCAUUCACACAGUUAAAAUCACUCAAAAUACGCUUUCAUACGAGUAUCUUGGACAUGCCUUCCAUAAUCAGAAAGAGCAAGUCAAAAGGAAAAAAGAAAACUGAAACCUCUCAUCGUCUCACACACAGCUUCUCACCACACACACAUAACUGAAAAAUAAAACACACCAGCCUUUAUGGCUCAAAAUAUAUACAUCUAUCAAAAUUCAGUCACUUACUAUACAUCCACUACAGCAACUCAAAACUUUAUUUAUAACCCUCUAAUAAACAUAAAUGGCGUCUUAAACACACGCAUUCAACAAUGUUUGCAGCAAUACUUGUGAAACCAACUGUGGUUUAAGCAGUUCACAGCUUCUUAAUUUGCAUUUUAUUGCCUUCUAGGACAUUCUAGUCUCUAAUUCCUCUGUUUUCAUGUUAUCUCCGUUUGACACACACAAACACCACAAACACACACUCCCC
Long non-coding RNA from Oreochromis aureus, 5786 nucleotides. NCBI's taxonomy places the organism in Eukaryota, Metazoa, Chordata, Actinopteri, Cichliformes, Cichlidae. The record is from Ensembl.